Molecule: unclassified non-coding RNA, 857 nt
Filed under: Bombus terrestris (buff-tailed bumblebee)
Lineage: Eukaryota; Metazoa; Arthropoda; Insecta; Hymenoptera; Apidae
Description: misc RNA ENSBTSG00005029539.1
Source: RNAcentral
CAUCGAGAAAAAAUGUUAUCGUAACUUUUUAUAUCGUAAAGAGAGAAUUACGCAAUCGUUAAAAAAAAUUAUAUAAACGAUAGAAAUAAACUAAAACGACGAAGAAUGUAAUUGUACAGAGAGCACGUUCGUCACUGAUUCAUUCCAACGUGAAAAUAACGGACAGGCAGAGGUACCCGUACGAUCCCCACGACACGUACUGUACGAAUGAUAGAGCCGAACGAUGGUGACCACAUCAGGGAGGGACCAGGGACCCUUUGUUUCCUCGAACACUUCGUGGAAUUCUUCGAAGGUCAACUGAAGCGUCAAACAGCAAUGGACAAUUGUUGGGCCACGUGAACACCGACAAAUUAACAUGCGACGUCCAGAGGGGCCAAUGACAUCGAGUAACACCAUCGCUCGUUUGGGUCAUUGACGAUCCCCCCUUUCCCUCCACCACCUCUUCACUCCUUCUACCGCUGAUAAACGAAACAUCAAGCUCUCUAAAACGUAUUAUAUACAACAACGUCCUGAUCUGCUCUCGCUGAUUAUGUGUUCCCUUUGGCUUUCUUAAUUAAAGAAGCAUUCUUGACCGCAGUUCGUACUUGACACACUUACGUUGGCAGUACUGUUAUCGUACAAACAUAUAUGAGAAAAACAUAACCUGAAAUUCAAUGACAAUCUGGCCUAGCCCGGUUUUAUACCAUAAAUAUUCCGUGCUUCAUUUAUUUUAGCUUAAUACAUAAAUAUUAUUUAUCAGAACAUGUCAUUUAUUUCUUAUGAUAUUUAUUUCUUAUGACAUUUAUUUCUUAGCUUCAUUUUUAAGAAUAUAUUUACAAGCUUAAAUAUCCUUUCACGCUAACAUUGUUUGAAUAUCU